RNAcentral lists this ribosomal RNA (253 nucleotides) under uncultured bacterium. RNAcentral describes it as "partial 16S ribosomal RNA". It matches the Rfam family "Bacterial small subunit ribosomal RNA", at positions 524 to 776 of the family's 1533-position model. The record is from RNAcentral.
UACAGAGGUCCCAAGCGUUGUUCGGAUUCACUGGGCGUAAAGGGUGCGUAGGUGGCCAGGUAAGUUCGGUGUGAAAGCUCGGAGCUCAACUCCGAAAUGUCAUUGAAUACUAUCUGGCUGGAGGGUCGGAGGGGAGACUGGAAUUCUCGGUGUAGCAGUGAAAUGCGUAGAUAUCGAGAGGAACACCAGUGGCGAAGGCGAGUCUCUGGGCCAUUACUGACACUGAGAAGCGAAAGCAUGGGGAGCGAACAGG